Molecule: ribosomal RNA, 433 nt
Filed under: uncultured bacterium
Lineage: Bacteria
Description: partial 16S ribosomal RNA
Rfam family: Bacterial small subunit ribosomal RNA
Source: RNAcentral
AACGAACGCUGGCGGCAUGCCUAACACAUGCAAGUCGAACGAGACCUUCGGGUCUAGUGGCGCACGGGUGCGUAACGCGUGGGAACCUGCCCUUAGGUUCGGAAUAACUCCCCGAAAGGGGUGCUAAUACCGGAUAAUGUCUUCGGACCAAAGAUUUAUCGCCUUUGGUUGGGCCCGCGUUGGAUUAGCUAGUUGGUAGGGUAAAAGCCUACCAAGGCGACGAUCCAUAGCUGGUCUGAGAGGAUGAUCAGCCACACUGGGACUGAGACACGGCCCAGACUCCUACGGGAGGCAGCAGUGGGGAAUAGUGGACAAUGGGCGAAAGCCUGAUCCAGCAAUGCCGCGUGAGUGAUGAAGGCCUUAGGGUUGUAAAGCUCUUUUACCCGGGAUGAUAAUGACAGUACCGGGAGAAUAAGCGCCGGCUAACUCCGUG